Molecule: ribosomal RNA, 437 nt
Filed under: uncultured bacterium
Lineage: Bacteria
Description: partial 16S ribosomal RNA
Rfam family: Bacterial small subunit ribosomal RNA
Source: RNAcentral
GAUGAACGCUGGCGGCAUGCCUAACACAUGCAAGUCGGACGGGAAGUGGUGUUUCCAGUGGCGGACGGGCGAGUAACGGGUAAGAACCUGCCCUUGGGCGGGGAACAACAACUGGAAACGGUUGCUAAUACCCCGCAGGUUGAGGAGAAAAAGGAGGAAUCCGCGCGAGGAGGGGCUUGCGUCUGCUUAGCUAGUUGGUGAGUUAAUAGCUUACCAAGGCGAUGAUCAGUAGCUGGACCGAGAGGAUGGUCAGCCACACUGGUACUGGGACACGGCGCAGACUCCUACGGGAGGCAGCAGUGGGGAAGUUUCCGCAAUGGGCGAAAGCCUGACGGAGCAAUGCCGCGUGGAAGUAGAAGGCGCUCGGGUCGUGAACUGCAUUUCUCGGAGAAGAAACAAUGACGGUAUCUGAGGAAUAAGCAUCGGCUAACUCUGUG